AUACGGAGGGUGCAAGCGUUACUCGGAAUCACUGGGCGUAAAGCGCGCGCAGGCGGCUAUUUAAGUUGGAUGUGAAAGCCUACGGCUCAACCGUAGAACUGCAUCCAAAACUAUUUAGCUAGAGUAUGGGAGAGGAAGAUGGAAUUAGUUGUGUAGGGGUAAAAUCCGUAGAGAUAACUAGGAAUGCCAAAAGCGAAGGCAAUCUUCUGGAACACUACUGACGCUGAGGCGCGAAAGCGUGGGGAGCAAACAGGAUUAGAAACCCUAGUAGUCC
Molecule: ribosomal RNA, 274 nt
Filed under: uncultured bacterium
Lineage: Bacteria
Description: partial 16S ribosomal RNA
Rfam family: Bacterial small subunit ribosomal RNA
Source: RNAcentral